Homo sapiens (human) is the source of this 858-nucleotide long non-coding RNA. Ensembl annotates it as MRPL20 antisense RNA 1. Its record names the gene MRPL20-AS1. Lineage: Eukaryota; Metazoa; Chordata; Mammalia; Primates; Hominidae. The record is from Ensembl.
GCUCAGACGGGCUCAAAUUCAGAAGCCACCAUUGCUCCUCACCCCCACCCCCAGGACGCUGAUUGUUCUGCGCAGGUUGGAGGUAGGUGGUGAGUCUGAGAAAGGGGCCGGAAAGACUCCCCAGCAACUGCUGGCAAAGGGUGAAGGGCACGUUCCCACAGGAUUCAAGCCAGCUGCCUUUGGAGGGGAGACGGGCACUCAGUUUAGGCGCUCCUACAGCAGGGUCAGCAAGACAAGCAGGUUGCGGCAAGGGUCUGCGCACUGCUGUGUAAAUGUAGGGGCAUCGGGGGGCAGAAAGACCAGGGGAGAAGUGUGCAUCACCCUUGGGGUUAAGGGACAGUUGUCUGCUAGGUGUUGCUUCCUGGAGAUGGCUGAAAAGCCAGUCCAGUCUGCAGGGACCAGGCCACCACCCACCUGAUGUGGGAGCAUUUCCCCCAAUCCCUGCUGGGCUGCUGAAUCUGGGGGACAUAGGGAAGCUGAGGCUGGUGUUCUGAGUAGUGGCAGAGCUGAGCCACAGGGCAUGUCUGAGGUCAGCCCCGAGCAAAAUGGAAUAGGGACUCAGGGUGGGUCAGGUAACUGGAAAGCGGGCACUGUGCACGCAGCCCUUGAGGGGAGCCAGGGUGGGUGGGGAUCCCCCACUGUGUGCAGAAGGCAGCAGCCUUGGAAGCAGGGUGUGCUCCUCGGUGUGGUCGCUCGAUACCAGAAAAUGACUCUAAAAACUGAAGAGUGUUUGAGUUUCAUUCACACAAAACAUGGACAUCAUCUGUGAGGCUCUGUCCCAGAGAGACAGGGCCAUCCCUCAUGUCUGUUAUUGGGUUGUAGAUAAACAAAAGUAUAAAUCAAACAAACUGCAAAUUA